GGGGAUUUAGCUCAGUGGUAGAGCGCUUGCCUAGCAAGCGCAAGGCCCUGGGUUCAAUCCCCAGCUCCA
Molecule: non-coding RNA, 69 nt
Organism: Rattus norvegicus (Norway rat)
Lineage: Eukaryota; Metazoa; Chordata; Mammalia; Rodentia; Muridae
Source: Rfam